RNAcentral lists this non-coding RNA (30 nucleotides) under Rattus norvegicus (Norway rat). Lineage: Eukaryota; Metazoa; Chordata; Mammalia; Rodentia; Muridae. The record is from RNAcentral.
UGGCCACCAAGUAGUCAGUGAAAGGAUGGU